Molecule: ribosomal RNA, 497 nt
Filed under: uncultured bacterium
Lineage: Bacteria
Description: partial 16S ribosomal RNA
Rfam family: Bacterial small subunit ribosomal RNA
Source: RNAcentral
GAUGAACGCUGGCGGCGUGCCUAAUACAUGCAAGUCGAGCGAACGGACGAGAAGCUUGCUUCUCUGAUGUUAGCGGCGGACGGGUGAGUAACACGUGGAUAACCUACCUAUAAGACUGGGAUAACUUCGGGAAACCGGAGCUAAUACCGGAUAAUAUUUUGAACCGCAUGGUGCAAAAGUGAAAGACGGUCUUGCUGUCACUUAUAGAUGGAUCCGCGCUGCAUUAGCUAGUUGGUAAGGUAACGGCUUACCAAGGCAACGAUGCAUAGCCGACCUGAGAGGGUGAUCGGCCACCCUAGAACUGAGACACGGUCCAGACUCCUAAGGGAGGCCGCAGUAGGGAAUCUGCCGCAAUGGGCGAAAGCCUGACGGAGCAACGCCGCGUGAGUGAUGAAGGUCUUCGGAUCGUAAAACUCUGUUAUUAGGGAAGAACAUAUGUGUAAUUAACUGUGCACAUCUUGACGGUACCUAAUAAGAAAGCCCCGGCUAACUACGUG